AGUGGCGGACGGGUGAGUAACGCGUGAGAAUCUGCCUUGGGGUCGGGGACAACCACUGGAAACGGUGGCUAAUACCGGAUAAGCCGAUUGGUGAAAGAUUUAUUGCCCGAAGAGGAGCUCGCGUCUGAUUAGCUAGUUGGUGAGGUAAGAGCUCACCAAGGCAGCGAUCAGUAGCUGGUCUGAGAGGACGAUCAGCCACACUGGGACUGAGACACGGCCCAGACUCCUACGGGAGGCAGCAGUGGGGAAUUUUCCGCAAUGGGCGAAAGCCUGACGGAGCAAGACCGCGUGAGGGAGGAAGGCUCUUGGGUUGUAAACCUCUUUUCUCAGGGAAGAAGCUCUGACGGUACCUGAGGAAUCAGCCUCUGCUAACUCCGUGCCAGCAGCCGCGGUAAUACGGAGGAGGCAAGCGUUAUCCGGAAUUAUUGGGCGUAAAGCGUCCGCAGGUGGCGAUUCAAGUCUGCUGUCAAAGCACGGGGCUUAACUCCGUAAAGGCAGUGGAAACUGAAUAGCUAGAGUGCCGUAGGGGUAGAGGGAAUUCCCGGUGUAGCGGUGAAAUGCGUAGAGAUCGGGAAGAACAUCGGUGGCGAAAGCGCUCUACUGGACGGCAACUGACACUCAGGGACGAAAGCUAGGGGAGCGAAUGGGAUUAGAUACCCC
This 660-nucleotide ribosomal RNA is filed under the name uncultured bacterium. RNAcentral's name for it is "bacterial SSU rRNA". It matches the Rfam family "Bacterial small subunit ribosomal RNA", at positions 94 to 788 of the family's 1533-position model. The record is from RNAcentral.